AUACGUAGGGUGCGAGCGUUGUCCGGAAUUACUGGGCGUAAAGAGCUCGUAGGUGGUUUGUCGCGUCGUCUGUGAAAUUCCGGGGCUUAACUCCGGGCGUGCAGGCGAUACGGGCAUAACUUGAGUACUGUAGGGGAGACUGGAAUUCCUGGUGUAGCGGUGAAAUGCGCAGAUAUCAGGAGGAACACCGGUGGCGAAGGCGGGUCUCUGGGCAGUAACUGACGCGGAGGAGCGAAAGCAUGGGUAGCGAACAGGAUUAGAUACCCCGGUAGUCCAUGCCGUAAACGGUGGGCGCUAGGUGUAGGGGUCUUCCACGACUUCUGUGCCGUAGCUAACGCAUUAAGCGCCCCGCCUGGGGAGUACGGCCGCAAGGCUAAAACUCAAAGGAAUUGACGGGG
RNAcentral lists this ribosomal RNA (398 nucleotides) under uncultured bacterium. RNAcentral's name for it is "partial 16S ribosomal RNA". It matches the Rfam family "Bacterial small subunit ribosomal RNA", at positions 523 to 918 of the family's 1533-position model. The record is from RNAcentral.